AGAUCUGGCGUGGAGCAUUGUUUCUAGCAGAUUACAUUCUAUGGAAGCAAGAUCUUUUCAGAGGCUCUACAGUGCUAGAAUUUGGAGCAGGGACUGGUUUUACCAGCGUUGUUAUGGCGACCGUUGCAAAAAGAGUUUAUAGUACAGGUAAUUCAUGCUUAAAUUAUGUUCUAUUCUGCAUUAUGCUAUUAAUGAUUAUUUUAGUCAAGAAAGCAUUUGUUAGCAAAUUGUUUUUAAUUCUUUAUUUUUGAAGUGUUGAGAAACACAUAAAUGUUGGUAUUGACAUUUGAGUAAAACAAGAUAUAUAGACAGGCUUGGUUAAAUAGUAUAAAAGAUAACACAAGAUAUGCCCGACAA
Non-coding RNA from Pelobates cultripes (western spadefoot toad), 357 nucleotides. NCBI's taxonomy places the organism in Eukaryota, Metazoa, Chordata, Amphibia, Anura, Pelobatidae. The record is from the annotation of a GenBank genome assembly.